CCUACGGGAGGCAGCAGUGAGGAAUAUUGGUCAAUGGCCGGAAGGCUGAACCAGCCAAGCCGCGUGAAGGACGAAGGUGCUAAGCAUUGUAAACUUCUUUUGUCAAGGGAUAAAUUCAGGCUCGAGAGCCUGACCGAGGGUACUUGAAGAAAAAGCAUCGGCUAACUCCGUGCCAGCAGCCGCGGUAAUACGGAGGAUGGGAGCGUUAUCCGGAUUUAGUGGGUUUAAAGGGUGCGUAGGCGGAAUGGUAAGUCAGCGGUAAAAUGCCGGGGCUCAACCCCGAGGGGGCCGUUGAAACUGGCAGUCUUGAGAUGUCGAGAGGUAUGCGGAAUGCGCAGUGUAGCGGGGAAAUGCUUAGAUAUUACGCAGAACUCCGAUUGCGAAGGCAGCAUACCGGCGGCGAUCUGACGCUGAGGCACGAAAGCGUGGGGAUCAAACAGGAUUAGAUACCCUAGUAGUC
RNAcentral lists this ribosomal RNA (460 nucleotides) under uncultured bacterium. RNAcentral's name for it is "partial 16S ribosomal RNA". It matches the Rfam family "Bacterial small subunit ribosomal RNA", at positions 338 to 795 of the family's 1533-position model. The record is from RNAcentral.